CGACCGGCUCCCUCUGGUCAGGUUACGUUGACGACCGGCUCCCUCUGGUCAGGUUACGUUGACGACCGGCUCCCUCUGGUCAGGUUACGUUGACGACCGGCUCCCUCUGGUCAGGUUACGUUGACGACCGGCUCCCUCUGGUCAGGUUACGUUGACGACCGGCUCCCUCUGGUCAGGUUACGUUGACGACCGGCUCCCUCUGGUCAGGUUACGUUGACGACCGGCUCCCUCUGGUCAGGUUACGUUGACGACCGGCUCCCUCUGGUCAGGUUACGUUGACGACCGGCUCCCUCUGGUCAGGUUACGUUGACGACCGGCUCCCUCUGGUCAGGUUACGUUGACGACCGGCUCCCUCUGGCCAGGUUACGUUGACGACCGGCUCCCUCUGGCCAGGUUACGUUGACGACCGGCUCCCUCUGGCCAGGUUACGUUGACGA
Oncorhynchus keta (chum salmon) is the source of this 437-nucleotide long non-coding RNA. RefSeq lists it as uncharacterized. Lineage: Eukaryota; Metazoa; Chordata; Actinopteri; Salmoniformes; Salmonidae. The transcript is spliced from 3 exons. The record is from RefSeq and is a predicted model, not a curated record.